RNAcentral lists this ribosomal RNA (253 nucleotides) under uncultured bacterium. Its description in RNAcentral is "partial 16S ribosomal RNA". It matches the Rfam family "Bacterial small subunit ribosomal RNA", at positions 524 to 776 of the family's 1533-position model. The record is from RNAcentral.
GACAGAGGGGGCAAGCGUUGCUCGGAAUCACUGGGCGUAAAGGGCGCGUAGGCGGGAUGGCAAGUCGGUCGUGAAAUCUCUCGGCUCAACCGAGAAACGUCGGCCGAUACUGCCGUUCUUGAGGGAUGCAGAGGAGACUGGAAUUCCCGGUGUAGCGGUGAAAUGUGUAGAGAUCGGGAGGAACACCGGUGGCGAAGGCGGGUCUCUGGGCCGAAACUGACGCUGAGGAGCGAAAGCGUGGGGAGCAAACAGG